AUGAUCAUUUGCAACAUCAGUGCCAUCAAAGAUUGGAGCACUUUCCUCUCCCAGAUCCUCCCUAGCGUUAACAAGACUCUGAACUUGGUGCAGCAAGUGGAAGCGACCACCAGCUCAGUGGUAAGUGUCCUCCAGGACCCCGAGCAGGACAGCUACCUGUCCAACAGCCAAUCCAUGAACUCCAGCAACUUCACGGCUGGCCUGGACCACUUGUUUCAGUAUUCGUACUCAGACAAUGACCAGCUUUACAAGGAAUACAAACCCCCUCCUCGAGAUGCCAUUCCUCUGCCCAAGGCUGUUCUCUACCUUCUCAUGGCAGCUUUGGUGGUGGUGGCAGUGGCGUACGCAAUCGUUGGGCAUCUCAUCAAGGACCUUAUUCAUGAUUUUAUAGGCCAUGAAAAAGGCAAGUCCUCGUUUUGAUUGCCUUUCUCCAUCCCUGUGCUCCAUCAGCCAGGCUGCUUCCUCCCAGGGAAGAAUUGCUAUUGAAAUCUUCUUCAGGGAAAUAAAAGCCUCUGAAAUACCCUGUGCCA
RNAcentral lists this long non-coding RNA (530 nucleotides) under Struthio camelus australis. RNAcentral describes it as "lncRNA (ENSSCUG00000012363.1)". Lineage: Eukaryota; Metazoa; Chordata; Aves; Struthioniformes; Struthionidae. The record is from RNAcentral.